This 466-nucleotide ribosomal RNA is filed under the name uncultured bacterium. RNAcentral's name for it is "partial 16S ribosomal RNA". It matches the Rfam family "Bacterial small subunit ribosomal RNA", at positions 28 to 507 of the family's 1533-position model. The record is from RNAcentral.
GAUGAACGCUGGCGGCGUGCUUAACACAUGCAAGUCGAACGAUGAAGCCCAGCUUGCUGGGUGGAUUAGUGGCGAACGGGUGAGUAACACGUGAGUAACCUGCCCUUAACUCUGGGAUAAGCCUGGGAAACUGGGUCUAAUACCGGAUAGUAGCGCCUACCGCAUGGUGGGUGUUGGAAAGAUUUAUCGGUUUUGGAUGGAUUCGCGGCCUAUCAGCUUGUUGGUGAGGUAAUGGCUCACCAAGGCGACGACGGGUAGCCGGCCUGAGAGGGUGACCGGCCACACUGGGACUGAGACACGGCCCAGACUCCUACGGGAGGCAGCAGUGGGGAAUAUUGCACAAUGGGCGAAAGCCUGAUGCAGCGACGCCGCGUGAGGGAUGACGGCCUUCGGGUUGUAAACCUCUUUCAGUAGGGAAGAAGCGAAAGUGACGGUACCUGCAGAAGAAGCACCGGCUAACUACGUG